AAUCAACGCUGGCGGCGUGCCUCAGACAUGCAAGUCGAACGCGAAAGUUCCCUUCGGGGGAUGAGUAGAGUGGCGCACGGGUGAGUAACACGUAGGUAAUCUACCUUUGGAUGGGGAAUAACAACCGGAAACGGUUGCUAAUACCGCAUAAUGCAGCGGCACCUAAUGGUGACAGUUGUUAAAGCGGGGGAUCGAAAGACCUCGCGUCUGAAGAGGAGCCUGCGGCGGAUAGCUAGUUGGUAAGGUAACGGCUUACCAAGGCGACGAUCCGUAGCCGGCCUGAGAGGGCGGUCGGCCACACUGACACUGACAUACGGGUCAG
Molecule: ribosomal RNA, 322 nt
Filed under: uncultured bacterium
Lineage: Bacteria
Description: bacterial SSU rRNA
Rfam family: Bacterial small subunit ribosomal RNA
Source: RNAcentral